ACGGGUGAGUAAUGUCUGGGAAACUGCCUGAUGGAGGGGGAUAACUACUGGAAACGGUAGCUAAUACCGCAUAACGUCGCAAGACCAAAGAGGGGGACCUUCGGGCCUCUUGCCAUCAGAUGUGCCCAGAUGGGAUUAGCUAGUAGGUGGGGUAAUGGCUCACCUAGGCGACGAUCCCUAGCUGGUCUGAGAGGAUGACCAGCCACACUGGAACUGAGACACGGUCCAGACUCCUACGGGAGGCAGCAGUGGGGAAUAUUGCACAAUGGGCGCAAGCCUGAUGCAGCCAUGCCGCGUGUGUGGAGAAGGCCUUCGGGUUGUAAAGCACUUUCAGCGAGGAGGAAGGUGGUGAGCUUAAUACGCUCAUCAAUUGACGUUACUCGCAGAAGAAGCACCGGCUAACUCCGUGCCAGCAGCCGCGGUAAUACGGAGGGUGCAAGCGUUAAUCGGAAUUACUGGGCGUAAAGCGCACGCAGGCGGUUUGCUAAGUCAGAUGUGAAAUCCCCGGGCUCAACCUGGGAACUGCAUUUGAAACUGGCAAGCUAGAGUCUCGUAGAGGGGGGUAGAAUUCCAGGUG
RNAcentral lists this ribosomal RNA (577 nucleotides) under uncultured Serratia sp. RNAcentral describes it as "bacterial SSU rRNA". It matches the Rfam family "Bacterial small subunit ribosomal RNA", at positions 102 to 675 of the family's 1533-position model. The record is from RNAcentral. Lineage: Bacteria; Pseudomonadati; Pseudomonadota; Gammaproteobacteria; Enterobacterales; Yersiniaceae.